Gallus gallus (chicken) is the source of this 573-nucleotide long non-coding RNA. NCBI's taxonomy places the organism in Eukaryota, Metazoa, Chordata, Aves, Galliformes, Phasianidae. The record is from Ensembl.
GUGCAGGUCAGGAUUGUGCAUUAUGAUGAUAUAUCCAUAGGAACUUAGAAAGCUGCCUGAUUUUCACUUGAAAUUUUCAUUGCCGGACCUCAGGAUGAAGUUUUCAACAGAUGAUUGAAAUUGCCCAGGUGGGAAAACCAUUGGAAAAAAAGCAAAUGAUGUAUUAUUAUAGGGUAUUCAAGCACACUUAAAAUGAGAGAGAUACUUCAGUGCUGCUGGUGAAGUGCUGGUUUCCUGAGUGACUCCUCCCAAAGUAAUUCUGCAUAGAUAUAGAUGUUUAGUCAGGCCUGAACUGGAGAUUAUAGCACAGCGAAAUCAGAGCUCAUCUGAACCCUGACCUGGAAGUUCUAAGGUGGAGAAGGAGACUUUUAUGUGCUUGGCAUUCAAAUGUGUUUUCCUCUUGUGGCCUCAACUGGUGUGAUCCUACUUCAACAAGAAGGCAUGAAACAGGGCUGUUUUUAUUUCCAUGUUUUUCUUUCUGUGCUUUCACCUGCCUGCCAGAGGCUGACAGAAUUUUGUCAGAAACGCCAGAAGAAUUCCCGCUUUCAGAUGAACAAGUCCAAGCAAGCCCUG